Molecule: long non-coding RNA, 211 nt
Filed under: Lathyrus oleraceus (garden pea)
Lineage: Eukaryota; Viridiplantae; Streptophyta; Magnoliopsida; Fabales; Fabaceae
Description: Pisum sativum (pea) long non-coding RNA (PSAT_LNC036390)
Source: RNAcentral
AGAAUUUUAGAAAUUAUUUUGGGAUUCUUUGGAUGAAAAUGGAAUUACUAUGAACUUUAAAAGAAAAAGAAAUUAAAAAUAAUAAAAGAAAAAGAAUUAAAAGCAGAAAAAACACGAAGCGUUGAAUCACACAUCAUUAAUUGAUGUGGCAGAUCUAACACUCCAUAUGUCAAAGAACACGAUGGAAUGCGCUGCAAGCCAAACACAUGAU